ACCCCGGGGGGGCUAGGAGACUGAAGCUAUGUUUAGAGAUAGUGUAUGGGGUAAGGUGCCCCAUUAGUGGGAGAAGCUGUCUAGGGCCAGAGGCCUAGAAGAGACUCCUGUCUGAGUAGGGGAGAGGAUUUAAAGGCCUGGUGAGCUGAAGAAUGUGGCAAAGAGGACACCCCGGCAUCCUUCACCUCACAAGUAACUGGACAGUGAGUUUGCUUCCUGAAAAGGGCCCGAUUGAAAACGCUGGGGAGAACUUUGGGUGAGACGCUCCUUUAGUGACCUGCUCGUGUAGUUCCCAGAGACUGCCGGCCUCCUUGGUUGAAGAACCCGUCUGCCUCAGCUUGCAGGAGCUCCAGUCCCUUGUCUGUCCACUGAUGGAUGACACGGUGGCUUCUUCUCUCCCCUUAUAUCGUCCCAAAUUCACUGAUUUGUCCCUAGACUUGGGGAGACCUCAUGCUGUUCUUCCUCGCCUGGGGACUUCCCAUCUCUGUUGAGUCACAUGUAAAUGGGGCUUCCCUUGGUUUGGGUCACACCUUGCUUAAUUUCACUGUAUAGAAGCUGUACCAAUUUGCCUUGUCCUCUUAG
Mauremys mutica (yellowpond turtle) is the source of this 582-nucleotide long non-coding RNA. RefSeq lists it as uncharacterized. Lineage: Eukaryota; Metazoa; Chordata; Testudines; Geoemydidae. The transcript has 3 exons. The record is from RefSeq and is a predicted model, not a curated record.